This is a non-coding RNA of Taeniopygia guttata (zebra finch), 1612 nucleotides long. NCBI's taxonomy places the organism in Eukaryota, Metazoa, Chordata, Aves, Passeriformes, Estrildidae. The record is from RefSeq and is a predicted model, not a curated record.
CCUGGAAGAGACAAAACAGGAGAGAAAACCCUCAUGGCAAAAAUGGAAACUUGACUUCUGACCCAGCUGGUAGAAAAGCCUCUUGGAGAUUGGAGUUCAGGCUACUGUUAAUGAGUUUUGAGUAAUCCUGUGCAUUUGGGUUUGCCCCUCACUCCUGUACCAGCAGGAAGAGAACAGACCGGCCUUUUGAUCUCCCUUUUUGUUUGCAGAGCUAAGGGGCUUCUUUUGUACCUUUUUAAAUAUUAAAUACCCCACUCAGUACAAAGGAGAGUCAAACACCGUGUGGUAACACACCCUAUAAAACAAACAGACACAACACACAUUCAAAGGAUGAGGAUUAUCCUGUAGGAUCUGUCCAGAUGGGGAUGCUGCAAAGGCAGUUUGGAUUGCAAUACACUCAAACACUUCCAUGUCCUCUGUAAGGGACACACUCCACAGCUUUUCACAUGUGUGUGCUCUGAGUCCUGCCUGGUUUUUAGCACUGAACACUCAACUGGAUUGUCUGGAAGCAGAGAAAAUGGAUUGAUUUAGGAAAGUCACACAGUGUGCUCUAAUUCUAAGCACUGCCAAACUAUCUCCUCUGUGUAAAAUGGUUUUCAGGUGCUGAAGAUGAUGGUGAGAGCAAGUGCUCCUGUUUGCUGCGGCACAAGAGCCUCAGGCUGAUGAUCUGUGGGGAUGACUGGGAGGAGACAGUGAAACAUUGAUAGAGCCAUUUGUCUUUUAACUAUUUUUGGUUAUUACCAGGUGUUUGCUGAUCAAAAUGAUCACAGCAACAAUCAGUGCAGGGGGUCUGGUGUCAGGUCUGGGAGCAGCUGAUGGCAUUUAUUGAGUCACACAGGCUAAGAUCUCUUCCCAAAGCAGGAGAGGAAGGACCACAUCAGAAAGUCUGUUACACAGUUGGUAACUGCAGGUAUUCCACUUUCCCCAAAGCUGUCAGCACAAUAACAUGUACAGUGGGAUAUUUCAGAUCACUUUUGAAGCAGCUGUACAGUGCAGGGCUUCACAAGGACCACGCUGCCACAAGAGGCAGCUCCCAUUUCCACCAGACACACUGAGGUGCAGGCAGGCAUCUCCUGGCAGCUAAAGGCACUCCGAGUUCCACACCAGCCAUGAGCUCUUUAAAAAUUUACCUUUAGGAAAAAAAAUGAAGCAUUGCCCUGAGAGUUUAAAGAAAUGGAGAACACAUCACUGAUAUUUUCUGAGGUUGGUAUGACAAGCAGCUACUCACCAUUUCUUCAGUAUGGUCUUUUUCCACUGGAACUGUGCUGGCACCUGGAAGAAAAACCAAUUAUUAGAGAUUCAUUAACACAAGCAUCGCUGACAGGAGUCCUCAGUCAAAUUGGUCUGAUGAGACAGCUUGGGUUUUGGAUUGGCAGACAACUAAACCAGGCACAUUCCACAUUAAAUCUUUCCUUAUUUGGAUGGAAAAGCCACAUAAAAUUGAGGCAUAGCAGGAGAGAAGAGCCACAUUAACACUUGUAGCACCAAAAUAAUAUACACCAAGAAUAAUCCCACUCACAAUAAAUGCAACACCAAAGAAAGCCACAUUCAAAUUCCAAAAUGGAACUUUACUUCAAACCAGGUCCUUAUGUCGUAGCACCUGUUUGAUGGU